Molecule: ribosomal RNA, 1065 nt
Filed under: fungal endophyte
Lineage: Eukaryota; Fungi
Description: eukaryotic LSU rRNA
Rfam family: Eukaryotic large subunit ribosomal RNA (bases 479-1065)
Source: RNAcentral
GCUCUAUAACCCUUUGUGAACAUACCUAUAACUGUUGCUUCGGCGGGUAGGGUCUCCGCGACCCUCCCGGCCUCCCGCCUCCGGGCGGGUCGGCGCCCGCCGGAGGAUAACCAAACUCUGAUUUAACGACGUUUCUUCUGAGUGGUACAAGCAAAUAAUCAAAACUUUUAACAACGGAUCUCUUGGUUCUGGCAUCGAUGAAGAACGCAGCGAAAUGCGAUAAGUAAUGUGAAUUGCAGAAUUCAGUGAAUCAUCGAAUCUUUGAACGCACAUUGCGCCCGCCAGCAUUCUGGCGGGCAUGCCUGUUCGAGCGUCAUUUCAACCCUCAAGCUCUGCUUGGUGUUGGGGCCCUACAGCUGAUGUAGGCCCUCAAAGGUAGUGGCGGACCCUCCCGGAGCCUCCUUUGCGUAGUAACUUUACGUCUCGCACUGGGAUCCGGAGGGACUCUUGCCGUAAAACCCCCCAAUUUUCCAAAGGUUGACCUCGGAUCAGGUAGGAAUACCCGCUGAACUUAAGCAUAUCAAUAAGCGGAGGAAAAGAAACCAACAGGGAUUGCCUCAGUAACGGCGAGUGAAGCGGCAACAGCUCAAAUUUGAAAUCUGGCCCUAGGCCCGAGUUGUAAUUUGCAGAGGAUGCUUUUGGUGCGGUGCCUUCCAAGUUCCCUAGAACGGGACGCCAGAGAGGGUGAGAGCCCCGUACAGUUGGACACCAAGCCUUUGUAAAGCUCCUUCGACGAGUCGAGUAGUUUGGGAAUGCUGCUCAAAAUGGGAGGUAUAUUUCUUCUAAAGCUAAAUACCGGCCAGAGACCGAUAGCGCACAAGUAGAGUGAUCGAAAGAUGAAAAGCACUUUGAAAAGAGGGUUAAACAGCACGUGAAAUUGUUAAAAGGGAAGCGCUUGUGACCAGACUUGCGUCCGGUGAAUCACCCAGCUCUCGCGGCUGGGGCACUUCGCCGGCUCAGGCCAGCAUCAGCUCGCUGUCGGGGACAAAAGCUUCAGGAACGUAGCUCUCUUCGGGGAGUGUUAUAGCCUGUUGCACAAUACCCUUCGGCGGGCUGAGGUACGCG